GAUGAACGCUGGCGGCGUGCCUAAUACAUGCAAGUCGAGCGAACGGACGAGAAGCUUGCUUCUCUGAUGUUAGCGGCGGACGGGUGAGUAACACGUGGAUAACCUACCUAUAAGACUGGGAUAACUUCGGGAAACCGGAGCUAAUACCGGAUAAUAUUUUGAACCGCAUGGUUCAAAAGUGAAAGACGGUCUUGCUGUCACGUAUAGAUGGAUCCGCGCUGCAUUAGCUAGUUGGUAAGGUAACGGCUUACCAAGGCAACGAUGCAUAGCCGACCUGAGAGGGUGAUCGGCCCCACUGGAACUGAGACACGGUCCAGACUCCUACGGGAGGCAGCAGUAGGGAAUCUUCCGCAGUGGGCGAAAGCCUGACGGAGCAACGCCGCGUGAGUGAUGAAGGUCUUCGGAUCGUAAAACUCUGUUAUUAGGGAAGAACAUAUGUGUAAGUAACUGUGCACAUCUUGACGGUACCUAAUCAGAAAGCCACGGCUACCUACGU
Molecule: ribosomal RNA, 496 nt
Filed under: uncultured bacterium
Lineage: Bacteria
Description: partial 16S ribosomal RNA
Rfam family: Bacterial small subunit ribosomal RNA
Source: RNAcentral